GAUGAAGAACGUAGCUAAAUGCGAUAAGUAAUGUGAAUUGCAGAAUUCAGUGAAUCAUCGAAUCUUUGAACGCACAUUGCGCCCCCUGGUAUUCCGGGGGGCAUGCCUGUUCGAGCGUCAUUACACCACUCAAGCCUCGCUUGGUAUUGGGCGAUCCGCGGCCUUCUCUGGCCCGCGCGCCCCCAUGUCUCCGGCCGAGCCGUCCGUCUCUUAAGCGUUGUGGUCUAUCAGUUCGCUUGUGGAGGCCGGGCGUGUUCGCCGCCGCUAAACCCCCCUUCUCAAAGGUUGACCUCGGAUCAGGUAGGGAUACCCGCUGAACUUAAGCAUAUCAAUAAGCGGAGGA
RNAcentral lists this unclassified non-coding RNA (343 nucleotides) under soil metagenome. Its description in RNAcentral is "partial contains 5.8S ribosomal RNA, internal transcribed spacer 2, and large subunit ribosomal RNA". The stretch from base 1 to 120 matches the Rfam family "5.8S ribosomal RNA", at positions 35 to 154 of the family's 154-position model. The record is from RNAcentral.